RNAcentral lists this ribosomal RNA (441 nucleotides) under uncultured bacterium. RNAcentral describes it as "partial 16S ribosomal RNA". It matches the Rfam family "Bacterial small subunit ribosomal RNA", at positions 338 to 795 of the family's 1533-position model. The record is from RNAcentral.
CCUACGGGAGGCAGCAGGGGGGGAUAUUGCACAAUGGGGGGAACCCAGAUGCAGCGACGCCGCGUGGGUGAAGGAGUGCUUCGGCAUGUAAAGCCCUAUCGGCAGGGAAGAAGCAAGACGGUACCUGACUAAGAAGCCACGGCUAACUACGUGCCAGCAGCCGCGGUAAUACGAAGGGGGCGAGCGUGAUCAGGAUUCACUGGGUGUAAAGGGAGCGUAGACGGCCAUGCAAGCCAGGGGUGAAAGCCCGGGGCCCAACCCCGGGACUGCCCUUGGAACUGUGCGGCUAGAGUGCGGGAGGGGCAGGCGGAAUUCCUGGUGUAGCGGUGAAAUGCGUAGAUAUCAGGAGGAACACCGGCGGCGAAGGCGGCCUGCUGGACUGCGACUGACGUUGAGGCUCGAAAGCGUGGGGAGCGAACAGGAUUAGAUACCCCUGUAGUC